CAAUAGCGUAUAUUAAAGUUGUUGCGGUUAAAAAGCUCGUAGUUGGAUUUCUGCUUUGGACGACCGGUCCGCCCUGUGGGUUGGCAUCUGGAUCGGCCUGGGCAUCUUCUUGGGGAACGUAGCUGCACUUGACUGUGUGGUGCGGUAUCCAGGACUUUUACCUUGAGGAAAUUAGAGUGUUUCAAGCAGGCGCACGCCUUGAAUACAUUAGCAUGGAAUAAUAAGAUAGGACCUCGGUUCUAUUUUGUUGGUUUCUAGAGCUGAGGUAAUGAUUAAUAGGGAUAGUUGGGGGCAUUCGUAUUUAACUGUCAGAGGUGAAAUUCUUGGAUCUGUUAAAGACGGACUACUGCGAAAGCAUUUGCCAAGGAUGUUUUCAUUGA
Molecule: ribosomal RNA, 380 nt
Filed under: uncultured eukaryote
Lineage: Eukaryota
Description: partial 18S ribosomal RNA
Rfam family: Eukaryotic small subunit ribosomal RNA
Source: RNAcentral